Molecule: long non-coding RNA, 481 nt
Filed under: Coturnix japonica (Japanese quail)
Lineage: Eukaryota; Metazoa; Chordata; Aves; Galliformes; Phasianidae
Description: lncRNA (ENSCJPG00005002131.1)
Source: RNAcentral
AUGGGGUCUGUGGGGUCUAUGGGUUCUCUAUGGGUGUCUAUGGGGUGAUAUGGGGCUCUAUGGGGGUCUAUGGGUUCUCUAUGGGGCUCUAUGGGGUCUCUAUGGGGCUCUAUGGGGUCUCUAUGGGGCUAUAUGGGGGUCUGUGGGGCUGUAUUUGGUCUAUGGGGUGUCUAUGGGUCUCUAUGGGUCUCUAUGGGUCUCUAUGGGUCUCUAUGGGGUCUAUGGGGUUCUAUUGGUCUCUAUGGGGUCUAUGGGGUCUCUAUGGGUCUCUGUGGGUUACUAUGGGGUCUCUAUGGGGUGGGAUCUGUGGGUCAGGGCUCUAUGGGGUCUCUCUCUCUGUGCCCCACAGGUCCCGUCAGCCCCACAUGGCGCCACUUGUGGGGCCGGAGCUGCUCAGCCCCAUUGAUGACGGCGGCGGGGAUGGGGCCAGCCCCACAGCAGCGCCCCAUAGCGUAGCACCCCAUAAGCAUAGAGCCCCAUA